Molecule: non-coding RNA, 191 nt
Organism: Salvelinus sp. IW2-2015
Lineage: Eukaryota; Metazoa; Chordata; Actinopteri; Salmoniformes; Salmonidae
Source: RefSeq, a predicted model, not a curated record
AAUAAUGGCCUGGGGAGGACAGGUAUGUUAUAAUGGGCUGGGGAGGACAGGUAUGUUAUAAUGGGCUGGGGAGGACAGGUACGUUAUAAUGGGCUGGGGAGGACAGGUAUGUUAUAAUGGGCUGGGGAGGACAGGUACGUUAUAAUGGGCUGGGGAGGACAGGUACAUUAUAAUGGGCUGGGGAGGACAGG